This 253-nucleotide ribosomal RNA is filed under the name uncultured bacterium. Its description in RNAcentral is "partial 16S ribosomal RNA". It matches the Rfam family "Bacterial small subunit ribosomal RNA", at positions 524 to 776 of the family's 1533-position model. The record is from RNAcentral.
UACGGGGGGGGCAAGCGUUGUUCGGAAUUACUGGGCGUAAAGGGCUCGUAGGCGGCCAACUAAGUCAGACGUGAAAUCCCCAGGCUCAACCUAGGAACUGCGUCUGAUACUGGAUGGCUUGAAUCCGGGAGAGGGAUGCAGAAUUCCAGGUGUAGCGGUGGAAUGCGUAGAUAUCUGGAGGAAUACCGGUGGCGAAGGCGGCAUCCUGGACCGGCAUUGACGCUGAGGAGCGAAAGCCAGGGGAGCAAACGGG